AUUGAACGCUGGCGGCAGGCCUAACACAUGCAAGUCGAGCGAGCGGCGGACGGGUGAGUCAUGUGUAUGUGACUGCCUGUUGGAGGUGGAUACCUGCUGCGAGCGCUAGCUCCUACCGCAUACCAUCAGACCUGCGCCGAUGGGACUAGCUGGUGGGUGGGGUACCGGCUCACCUAGGCGACGAUCCCUAGCUGGUCUGAGAGGAUGAUCAGCCACACUGGAACUGAGACACGGUCCAGACUCCUACGGGAGGCAGCAGUGGGGAAUAUUGCACAAUGGGCGAAAGCCUGAUGCAGCCAUGCCGCGUGUGUGAAGAAGGCCUUCGGAUUGUAAAGCACUUUAAGCGGGGAGGCGUUACCAGCAGAAGAAGCACCGGCUAACUCCGUGCCAGCAGCCGCGGUAAUAC
RNAcentral lists this ribosomal RNA (406 nucleotides) under uncultured bacterium. RNAcentral's name for it is "partial 16S ribosomal RNA". It matches the Rfam family "Bacterial small subunit ribosomal RNA", at positions 30 to 526 of the family's 1533-position model. The record is from RNAcentral.